UCGGCUGCCACCCGAGCAGGGGCGCCUCGGUCCUUCGCACCCCGCCGUCCCUCCGCUGAAGACCGUGCGCCCCGGAGUGGGUCUAACGCAACCCUGAGCUCGGGUUCUGCAGAGGACCGGGUCCCCUGCCCCUGCCUGCAGACACUCCUCCGACCGCGGACCUAGCUGGCCCUCCCUCUCCUUGCCUUCAUCGUGAACGAAAAAUCCUACCUAGAAUGGGAGAUGCUAAUACACAAUGAUCGGAAAGAAUUCAAUUUUGUGUAUCCCUUUGUAAUUCCAAGUAUGAAUUGCAGGUCUAAUGAUCUCUCUCUGGCCCAAGGAAUUCCCCAAUUUUCUAAAGCUUUAAAACCUACACUACUUUAUUUUACAUCCCUUCUAAAUAUGUCAAAUUCGUCUCUUGUGAGUUCAUGAAAUAUUCGCCAAGAAUUUGCUCAAGCUGGGCACAUAUGGCAGGCAGAUCUCUCUUUAAUUUACAGGUGAUGUCUGCUGGGACAAUGGCGCACAAGCAGAGGAGAUAUUCAUCAGCUGUACAUCUGCUGUUCCUUGCUGCCCCACAAGCCCAGAAUUCUGGUUGUCUUACAAUGUUCGGAGGUUCAGUGACAUGUGUGUUUCAUCUUUGAUUGCCAUUCCUUGCUCAUCACUAAGCUGAAGAUAGAGUGUUGGUAGAAUGCUUACAUAUCAAGGAAUAAAAGCAAUUGAGCUGGUUGUGCAGUGUUUCCAAUAUUCUGGUAAGAACAAAAUGCAUAUGCAUGUACAAGCUGAAAUGUGAACUGGAUAAUUUCAGUGAUUCCACUAUAAAGUAAAUGCUCUUAUAUUUGCACUUAAAACUGGUAGUGCACAAUAUAAAAAUGAACAAUAAUAGUCAAGCUAAUAAAUUAAAUUUUCCAUUUUUAAAACUUAGAAUGACGUUAAAUAAAUGAAAAAAACCCACACCACAAGUUCGGAGACACACUACAGAAGAAAGGGAACAUCUUUAUAUUCUAGUACUUUAACAGCCCUUUUUAUUUCCAAGCUCCACAAAUUAUGUAGCUGUCCUGCUUCAAAAUCUGUCAUUCAUGUUGCAUUGUAACUUAUGAAAACCCACGCUUCUUCUUUAAAACUAUUGUCUCUGUUGUGAGUUCUUAAAGUUCAUUUUGAAAACUACAAAUCAAGAAUCGAUUCUUUUCUUUGUUUCUAAAUCUCUGCUGUGCUACCUCUGUACCCCAAGAAAAUGGACAGGAGUAUAGGAAAUGCAGGAAAGCCACAUUGGUUAAUACCUCAAAACACUACCCCCCUAUAUUAAAAACAAAAACAGAACAAAAUCUAGCAGCUAUAAAUUCCUUGAAGGCAGGGACUUUUUUUCUUCCUCCUGGGUUUACCACAGUGUUUUCCUUUUUUCUUGUAAUAAGGACCUAAUAGCUAUUUGUCCCUUUCCUCAACAAGUGUUUGUUCAAUUAAUUUUUUUGUUUUGUUUUGUUUUGUUUUGUUUUUUGA
Molecule: long non-coding RNA, 1473 nt
Filed under: Homo sapiens (human)
Lineage: Eukaryota; Metazoa; Chordata; Mammalia; Primates; Hominidae
Description: HSALNT0303010
Source: RNAcentral